GAUGAACGCUGGCGGCGUGCUUAACACAUGCGAGUCGAACGGAAAGGCCCAAGCUUGCUUGGGUACUCGAGUGGCGAACGGGUGAGUAACACGUGGGUGAUCUGCCCUGCACUUCGGGAUAAGCCUGGGAAACUGGGUCUAAUACCGGAUAGGACCACGUCUUGGAUGUUGUGGUGGAAAGUUUUUUCGGUGUGGGAUGAGCUCGCGGCCUAUCAGCUUGUUGGUGGGGUAAUGGCCUACCAAGGCGUCGACGGGUAGCCGGCCUGAGAGGGUGUACGGCCACAUUGGGACUGAGAUACGGCCCAGACUCCUACGGGAGGCAGCAGUGGGGAAUAUUGCACAAUGGGCGCAAGCCUGAUGCAGCGACGCCGCGUGGGGGAUGACGGCCUUCGGGUUGUAAACUCCUUUCGCUAGGGACGAAGCGUUUUUGUGACGGUACCUGGAGAAGAAGCACCGGCUAACUACGUG
Molecule: ribosomal RNA, 468 nt
Filed under: uncultured bacterium
Lineage: Bacteria
Description: partial 16S ribosomal RNA
Rfam family: Bacterial small subunit ribosomal RNA
Source: RNAcentral